UUCGCCCUUAGAGUUUGAUCCUGGCUCAGGACGAACGCUGGCGGCGCGCCUAACACAUGCAAGUCGAACGAGAGAGAGGGAGCUUGCUUCCUCAAUCGAGUGGCGAACGGGUGAGUAACGCGUGAGGAACCUGCCUCAAAGAGGGGGACAACAGUUGGAAACGACUGCUAAUACCGCAUAAGCCCACAGCUCGGCAUCGAGCAGAGGGAAAAGGAGCAAUCCGCUUUGAGAUGGCCUCGCGUCCGAUUAGCUAGUUGGUGAGGUAAUGGCCCACCAAGGCGACGAUCGGUAGCCGGACUGAGAGGUUGAACGGCCACAUUGGGACUGAGACACGGCCCAGACUCCUACGGGAGGCAGCAGUGGGGAAUAUUGCACAAUGGGGGAAACCCUGAUGCAGCGACGCCGCGUGGAGGAAGAAGGUCUUCGGAUUGUAAACUCCUGUUGUUGAGGAAGAUAAUGACGGUACUUAACAAGGAAGUGACGGCUAACUACGUGCCAGCAGCCGCGGUAAAACGUAGGUCACAAGCGUUGUCCGGAAUUACUGGGUGUAAAGGGAGCGCAGGCGGGAAGACAAGUUGGAAGUGAAAUCUAUGGGCUCAACCCAUAAACUGCUUUCAAAACUGUUUUUCUUGAGUAGUGCAGAGGUAGGCGGAAUUCCCGGUGUAGCGGUGGAAUGCGUAGAUAUCGGGAGGAACACCAGUGGCGAAGGCGGCCUACUGGGCACCAACUGACGCUGAGGCUCGAAAGUGUGGGUAGCAAACAGGAUUAGAUACCCUGGUAGUCCACACCGUAAACGAUGAUUACUAGGUGUUGGAGGAUUGACCCCUUCAGUGCCGCAGUUAACACAAUAAGUAAUCCACCUGGGGAGUACGACCGCAAGGUUGAAACUCAAAGGAAUUGACGGGGGCCCGCACAAGCAGUGGAGUAUGUGGUUUAAUUCGACGCAACGCGAAGAACCUUACCAAGUCUUGACAUCCUGCGACGAUGCUGGAAACAGUAUUUUCCUUCGGGACGCAGAGACAGGUGGUGCAUGGUUGUCGUCAGCUCGUGUCGUGAGAUGUUGGGUUAAGUCCCGCAACGAGCGCAACCCUUACUGUCAGUUACUACGCAAGAGGACUCUGGCAGGACUGCCGUUGACAAAACGGAGGAAGGUGGGGAUGACGUCAAAUCAUCAUGCCCCUUAUGAUUUGGGCUACACACGUGCUACAAUGGCGUAAACAAAGGGAAGCGAGCCUGCGAGGGUAAGCAAAUCCCAAAAAUAACGUCCCAGUUCGGACUGCAGUCUGCAACUCGACUGCACGAAGCUGGAAUCGCUAGUAAUCGCGGAUCAGAAUGCCGCGGUGGAUACGUUCCCGGGUCUUGUACACACCGCCCGUCA
This 1378-nucleotide ribosomal RNA is filed under the name uncultured bacterium. Its description in RNAcentral is "16S ribosomal RNA". It matches the Rfam family "Bacterial small subunit ribosomal RNA". The record is from RNAcentral.